CCUACGGGAGGCAGCAGUAGGGAAUAUUGCUCAAUGGGGGAAAGCCUGAAGCAGCAACGCCGCGUGGAGGAUGAAGGUCUUCGGAUUGUAAACCCCUUUUGUUAGAGAAGAUAAUGACGGUAUCUAACCAAUAAUCACUGGCUAAUACCUUGCCAGCAGCCGCGGGAAUACGGAGGGUGCGAGCGUUACUCGGAAUCACUGGGCGUAAAGAGCGUGUAGGCGGGAUAGCAAGUCAGAUGUGAAAUCCUAUGGCUUAACCAUAGAACUGCAUUUGAAACUGUUAUUCUAGAGUAUGUGAGAGGUAGGUGGAAUUCGUGGUGUAGGGGUAAAAUCCGUAGAGAUCAAGAGGAAUACUCAUUGCGAAGGCGACCUGCUAGAACAUAACUGACGCUGAGGAGCGAAAGCGUGGGGAGCAAACAGGAUUAGAUACCCUUGUAGUC
This 440-nucleotide ribosomal RNA is filed under the name uncultured bacterium. RNAcentral's name for it is "partial 16S ribosomal RNA". It matches the Rfam family "Bacterial small subunit ribosomal RNA", at positions 338 to 795 of the family's 1533-position model. The record is from RNAcentral.